AUUGAACGCUGGCGGCAUGCCUUACACAUGCAAGUCGAACGGUAACAGGUUAAGCUGACGAGUGGCGAACGGGUGAGUAAUGUAUCGGAACGUGCCCAGUCGUGGGGGAUAACUGCUCGAAAGAGCAGCUAAUACCGCAUACGACCUGAGGGUGAAAGCGGGGGCUCGCAAGACCUCGCGCGAUUGGAGCGGCCGAUAUCAGAUUAGGUAGUUGGUGAGGUAAAGGCUCACCAAGCCGACGAUCUGUAGCUGGUCUGAGAGGACGACCAGCCACACUGGGACUGAGACACGGCCCAGACUCCUACGGGAGGCAGCAGUGGGGAAUUUUGGACAAUGGGCGCAAGCCUGAGCCAGCCAUGCCGCGUGCGGGAAGAAGGCCUUCGGGUUGUAAACCGCUUUUGUCAGGGAAGAAAAGGUUCUGGCUAAUACCUGGGACUCAUGACGGUACCUGAAGAAUAAGCACCGGCUAACUACGUG
This 477-nucleotide ribosomal RNA is filed under the name uncultured bacterium. RNAcentral's name for it is "partial 16S ribosomal RNA". It matches the Rfam family "Bacterial small subunit ribosomal RNA", at positions 30 to 507 of the family's 1533-position model. The record is from RNAcentral.